GACAGCAGUAGCCGCGGGAAUACGAAGGGUGCAAGCGUUACUCGGAAUUACUGGGCGUAAAGCGUGCGUAGGUGGUGGUUUAAGUCCGUUGUGAAAGCCCUGGGCUCAACCUGGGAAUUGCAGUGGAUACUGGGUCACUAGAGUGUGGUAGAGGAUAGUGGAAUUUCCGGUGUAGCAGUGAAAUGCGUAGAGAUCGGAAGGAACAUCUGUGGCGAAGGCGACUAUCUGGGCCAACACUGACACUGAGGCACGAAAGCGUGGGGAGCAAACAGGAUUAGAUACCCCGGUAGUCCCUGUCUCUUAUAC
Molecule: ribosomal RNA, 306 nt
Filed under: uncultured bacterium
Lineage: Bacteria
Description: partial 16S ribosomal RNA
Rfam family: Bacterial small subunit ribosomal RNA
Source: RNAcentral